GCAUCGGUCUAGCUCUGCUGUCGCAUGUUCCACCUUUUGGCAAAUGGAGAGGAAGAAAAGGAAUCACCUGUAGUACUGGAAUAUGUGAUACAUAUGUUGGCUGUAAUUCCAUCUUCAGGAAGUCAUCCAGCCCUUCACUGUUGAAUCAGCCAACAUCCGGUCCACACUGAGGUGCAGGGUAUACAGACGUUCUACUGCGUCUAAAACCGCAGCACCAGGAAAAUUACAUCUGGUUCGUCCUGCACCUGGGCUCAUUGGUAUUGUACCAUCGCACUUCAAUAUAUCUAGUACUUGUUGUGGUAUUAAUGCUGUCCCUGUAAAAUAUAAUAAGUUCAUGUCACAUUUCACUUCACUGCAUAAUACAUUUUCAUGAUCUUGGGUUCCCAGUUUAAACAAGUUAUUUAUUAAAAUGACCUGUCAUGCAAAAUAUCAAUAUCUACUUAACCUAGGUGCAAAUUAUUUAUUCUGAAAACUGGGUAAAUCCUAUUAUGGAUUAAAUAGUAACAAAUAACACUUCAUGCAUGCAUAGUGAAAGAAAUUUAAUGCAAAUUGAUUCACCAAGCAUAUGCAGGUACUAAAUGCAACACUGCAAUUGGAACAAUAGCCAAUUUACAAGUAAUACAACUAAAUGAAUGAUGUGAACUAUCAGUGAGUGAAAUCUGUAUACCAAUUACACUGUCCAUACAUUUACAUUAAUAAUUUGCAAUGAGGUAUGAA
Zootermopsis nevadensis is the source of this 717-nucleotide non-coding RNA. Lineage: Eukaryota; Metazoa; Arthropoda; Insecta; Blattodea; Termopsidae. The record is from RefSeq and is a predicted model, not a curated record.